AGUUUCCGUACCAAGACGACCCUGCAGGACGGGGGUAACCAUUUUGCAGCUAAUAUCGUGCGAUUUCGGUGUUUUGCCACAAUAUCCUUAACACUAAUUCGUAAUGGAUAACUUCUUUAGAAAGAGGAGUGACAUAUAUCAAAUUUAGUUAUUUAGUGUGUUAGACAGAGAUGUGGGUAGACACAUAAUUCAAAUGCGACUUUUGAAAAUUUUCCGUCAUUUACUUUUUCAUUUGAAGACGCUAAGAGAUUGACUGAAUAAUUUGGCAACAGUAGCCGAACUCAAACAGCGAAAAAACAUCAAAUGAGGUCGAUUGAACGUAUUCCUGUAUCGGAAUUCAAAUAACGAAAUAAGGGCCACCACAUUACCACAUCUGAACUGAUUGAUCAACAAUGUAUUCAAGAAACCCUUCAGCAGAUAGCCAAAGUGAGCUUUGCAGCAAAUAUAAAGGCUCGACAUGUGGACAAAAUGUAUCCUGAAGGAAUAAAGAUGUCACCAGGAAAUAUUUGAAAUAUGCUGGAAUUACAAAGCUUAAAGGAUUGAUUUAUUGUUUUAUAUGCUUUAGCAUAUAUUUAUAUAUUUAAAAUCACAGAUCUCGAUGUGCUUAUGUUUAAAAUGAAUUGAUUUUGUUUUA
Molecule: long non-coding RNA, 634 nt
Filed under: Ceratitis capitata (Mediterranean fruit fly)
Lineage: Eukaryota; Metazoa; Arthropoda; Insecta; Diptera; Tephritidae
Description: uncharacterized LOC105665590, transcript variant X1
Source: RNAcentral